GGUUUAUUUUCCCAUGGUUGUUACAUCAUCUUGUCUUUGAAUAUGCUCGAAGUACAGAGACUUUUAUUGAAUUCAUUGACAUGAUAGUCAGGCAAGAUGUCAAUAUCUCGUCCAACCCUCUUCCAGCAAAGCCAAAGCUGACCAAGGAUCUUCACCCUUUCAAAAAAGGCUGUAUACAGGACGAGUUAUUCCAGUAGGAACAGGGCUAUAUAUAUGCAAGCAAUGCUCAAUUAAGAUGAAUUUUUGUAAAAGUGACAAUAGCCAGGUCAAACUAAAUACAUGUAUAGAAGAAGAUAUUGAUAUAGACUCGCAGCUAACCUUUCUGUCAGUGUCAACAACAACUGAACUUUCACAGCAGUCGACUUC
This is a long non-coding RNA of Mytilus californianus (California mussel), 366 nucleotides long. RefSeq lists it as uncharacterized. The record is from RefSeq and is a predicted model, not a curated record. NCBI's taxonomy places the organism in Eukaryota, Metazoa, Mollusca, Bivalvia, Mytilida, Mytilidae. The transcript has 3 exons.